This 397-nucleotide ribosomal RNA is filed under the name Paratrypaea sp. RR-2008. RNAcentral describes it as "partial 12S ribosomal RNA". Lineage: Eukaryota; Metazoa; Arthropoda; Malacostraca; Decapoda; Callianassidae. The record is from RNAcentral.
UCUAGCCCUAAUAUUUGUACUAAAGUAUUAAAAGUUAUGGUCUCUAAAUUUAAAGGAUUUGGCGGUGAUUUAAUCCCAUUAGAGGAACCUGUUAAGUAAACGAUAAACCACGCAGAAUCUUACCUAUUUUCCAGUUUGUAUACCGUCAUUAUUAGAUAACUUUUCAAGAAAUAGUUAUUGAAAUAAAACCUUUAGUAUAUUAGAUCAAGGUGCAGCUUAUAAAUAGGAAAAUAAUGGGUUACAAUAAAACUUACUUAAACGAAUAUAGAAUUUAAAUAUUUUAUUUAAGGUGGAUUUAAUAGUAAAUUUAGUUUAAUAAGCUAACUUGACAAUGGACCUAAAUCGUGUACAUAUCGCCCGUCACUUGCAUUCCCAAAUGAAAUAAGUCGUAACAUAG